UGGGGAAUAUUGCACAAUGGGCGCAAGCCUGAUGCAGCCAUGCCGCGUGUGUGAAGAAGGCCUUCGGGUUGUAAAGCACUUUCAGCGAGGAGGAAGGUGGUGAGCUUAAUACGCUCAUCAAUUGACGUUACUCGCAGAAGAAGCACCGGCUAACUCCGUGCCAGCAGCCGCGGUAAUACGGAGGGUGCAAGCGUUAAUCGGAAUUACUGGGCGUAAAGCGCACGCAGGCGGUUUGUUAAGUCAGAUGUGAAAAUCCCCGGGCUCAACCUGGGAACUGCAUUUGAAACUGGCAAGCUAGAGUCUCGUAGAGGGGGGUAGAAUUCCAGGUGUAGCGGUGAAAUGCGUAGAGAUCUGGAGGAAUACCGGUGGCGAAGGCGGCCCCCUGGACGAAGACUGACGCUCAGGUGCGAAAAGCGUGGGGAGCAAAACAGGAUUAGAUACCCUGGUAGUCCACGCUGUAAAACGAUGUCGAUUUGGAGGUUGUGCCCUUGAGGCGUGGCUUCCGGAGCUAACGCGUUAAAUCGACCGCCUGGGGAGUACGGCCGCAAGGUU
RNAcentral lists this ribosomal RNA (552 nucleotides) under uncultured bacterium. RNAcentral's name for it is "partial 16S ribosomal RNA". It matches the Rfam family "Bacterial small subunit ribosomal RNA", at positions 355 to 895 of the family's 1533-position model. The record is from RNAcentral.